Molecule: ribosomal RNA, 206 nt
Filed under: uncultured bacterium
Lineage: Bacteria
Description: partial 16S ribosomal RNA
Rfam family: Bacterial small subunit ribosomal RNA
Source: RNAcentral
CGGAUUGCAGGCUGCAACUCGCCUGCAUGAAGCUGGAAUUGCUAGUAAUCGCGGAUCAGCAAGCCGCGGUGAAUACGUUCCCGGGCCUUGUACACACCGCCCGUCACACCAUGAGAGUCGGGAACACCCGAAGUCCGUAGUCUAACCGCAAGGGGGGCGCGGCCGAAGGUGGGUCCGGUAAUUGGGUGAAGUCGUAACAAGGUAUC